Molecule: ribosomal RNA, 460 nt
Filed under: uncultured bacterium
Lineage: Bacteria
Description: partial 16S ribosomal RNA
Rfam family: Bacterial small subunit ribosomal RNA
Source: RNAcentral
CCUACGGGAGACAGCAGUGAGGAAUAUUGGUCAAUGGACGCAAGUCUGAACCAGCCAUGCCGCGUGCAGGAAGACGGCUCUAUGAGUUGUAAACUGCUUUUGUACGGGAGUAAACGCAGAUACGCGUGUCUGUCUGAAAGUAUCGUACGAAUAAGGAUCGGCUAACUCCGUGCCAGCAGCCGCGGUAAUACGGAGGAUUCAAGCGUUAUCCGGAUUUAUUGGGUUUAAAGGGUCCGUAGGGGGUGGGAUAAGUUAGAGGUGAAAUCCCGCGGCUCAACUUCGGAAUUGCCUUUGAUACUGUUCGGCUAGAGAGUAGUUGCGGUAGGCGGAAUGUAUGGUGUAGCGGUGAAAUGCUUAGAGAUCAUACAGAACACCGAUUGCGAAGGCAGCUUACCAAGCUACUUCUGACGUUGAGGCACGAAAGCGUGGGGAUCAAACAGGAUUAGAUACCCUUGUAGUC